This 426-nucleotide ribosomal RNA is filed under the name uncultured bacterium. RNAcentral's name for it is "bacterial SSU rRNA". It matches the Rfam family "Bacterial small subunit ribosomal RNA", at positions 354 to 796 of the family's 1533-position model. The record is from RNAcentral.
GGGAGGAAUAUUGCCCAAUGGGGGAAACCCAGAGGCAGCAACGCCGCGUGCGCGAAGAAGGCCUUCGGGUCGUAAAGCGCUUUUCCGAGGGAUGAGGAAGGACAGUACCUUGGGAAUAAGUCUCGGCUAACUACGUGCCAGCAGCCGCGGUAAAACGUAGGAGGCGAGCGUUAUCCGGAUUCACUGGGCGUAAAGGGCAAGUAGGCGGUGGUUCAAGUUGUGCGUGACAACUCUCGGCUCAACUGAGAGGGGUCGCACAAUACUGGGUCACUUGAGGGCAGGAGAGGGGAGCAGAAUUCCUAGUGUAGCGGUGGAAUGCUCAGAUAUUAGGAGGAAUACCAGUGGCGAAGGCGGCUCUCUGGCCUGCACCUGACGCUGAGAGGCGAAAGCUAGGGUAGCAAACGGGCUUAGAUACCCGGGUAGUCC